GGCGGCGGGGCAGCGGGAGGAGCGGGCCGAGCAGUGGCAGCCGCGUCCUUGCACGCUGGGAUGUAGCGAACCAGAAGGGGCCGAAGCUGCGCGCAGAGCCGGAGACGCAGCUGGAUCCGGGGCCCUAGCCAGAGUCCAAACCUAAGCCAGAGUCCGUGGCGAGCGAGCCCGGAGCCGAGGAGCCGCACGCGCCGCGCAGUCCGGGUCAGCUGUGCCGCAGGAAAGCAACAGACGUCGGCCGGAGCCCCGGCUGUCUUCGCCGCGCACCCCGACGUCCCGCCGCAGUGCUUGGAGGCGCCCCCAGCCCAAAGCGGCCUGCCGGAGCCGCCACCGGUCAGGCUUUUCCUUACCCUGAGAGAAACCCCAAAUGCUCUUGGCAAAAUCCAAUAAAGACAUUCCCGCAGCUUC
Molecule: long non-coding RNA, 408 nt
Organism: Lagenorhynchus albirostris (white-beaked dolphin)
Lineage: Eukaryota; Metazoa; Chordata; Mammalia; Artiodactyla; Delphinidae
Exons: 2
Source: RefSeq, a predicted model, not a curated record